RNAcentral lists this small nucleolar RNA (101 nucleotides) under Absidia glauca. Its description in RNAcentral is "Small nucleolar RNA snR60/Z15/Z230/Z193/J17". It matches the Rfam family "Small nucleolar RNA snR60/Z15/Z230/Z193/J17". Rfam says of the family: The members of this family belong to the C/D class of snoRNAs which contain the C (UGAUGA) and D (CUGA) box motifs. Most of the members of the box C/D family function in directing site-specific 2'-O-methylation of substrate RNAs. Lineage: Eukaryota; Fungi; Mucoromycota; Mucoromycetes; Mucorales; Cunninghamellaceae. The record is from Rfam by way of RNAcentral.
UUGAAUCAUAGGAUGAUUUGCAAAAAGUAUAGUUCAUGUGACAGUGGGCUUACUACUCACCGGAUGAUAUUUAGUCAUUUCGCCCCUAUCUGAUGAUUCAU